AAAUUGAAGAGUUUGAUCAUGGCUCAGAUUGAACGCUGGCGGCAGGCCUAACACAUGCAAGUCGAACGGUAACAGGAAGCAGCUUGCUGCUUCGCUGACGAGUGGCGGACGGGUGAGUAAUGUCUGGGAAACUGCCUGAUGGAGGGGGAUAACUACUGGAAACGGUGGCUAAUACCGCAUAACGUCGCAAGACCAAAGAGGGGGACCUUCGGGCCUCUUGCCAUCAGAUGUGCCCAGAUGGGAUUAGCUAGUUGGUGAGGUAACGGCUCACCAAGGCGACGAUCCCUAGCUGGUCUGAGAGGAUGACCAGCCACACUGGAACUGAGACACGGUCCAGACUCCUACGGGAGGCAGCAGUGGGGAAUAUUGCACAAUGGGCGCAAGCCUGAUGCAGCCAUGCCGCGUGUAUGAAGAAGGCCUUAGGGUUGUAAAGUACUUUCAGCGGGGAGGAAGGUGUUGUGGUUAAUAACCGCAGCAAUUGACGUUACCCGCAGAAGAAGCACCGGCUAACUCCGUGCCAGCAGCCGCGGUAAUACGGAGGGUGCAAGCGUUAAUCGGAAUUACUGGGCGUAAAGCGCACGCAGGCGGUCUGUCAAGUCGGAUGUGAAAUCCCCGGGCUCAACCUGGGAACUGCAUUCGAAACUGGCAGGCUUGAGUCUUGUAGAGGGGGGUAGAAUUCCAGGUGUAGCGGUGAAAUGCGUAGAGAUCUGGAGGAAUACCGGUGGCGAAGGCGGCCCCCUGGACAAAGACUGACGCUCAGGUGCGAAAGCGUGGGGAGCAAACAGGAUUAGAUACCCUGGUAGUCCACGCCGUAAACGAUGUCUACUUGGAGGUUGUGCCCUUGAGGCGUGGCUUCCGGAGCUAACGCGUUAAGUAGACCGCCUGGGGAGUACGGCCGCAAGGUUAAAACUCAAAUGAAUUGACGGGGGCCCGCACAAGCGGUGGAGCAUGUGGUUUAAUUCGAUGCAACGCGAAGAACCUUACCUGGUCUUGACAUCCACAGAACUUUCCAGAGAUGGAUUGGUGCCUUCGGGAACUGUGAGACAGGUGCUGCAUGGCUGUCGUCAGCUCGUGUUGUGAAAUGUUGGGUUAAGUCCCGCAACGAGCGCAACCCUUAUCCUUUGUUGCCAGCGGUCCGGCCGGGAACUCAAAGGAGACUGCCAGUGAUAAACUGGAGGAAGGUGGGGAUGACGUCAAGUCAUCAUGGCCCUUACGACCAGGGCUACACACGUGCUACAAUGGCGCAUACAAAGAGAAGCGACCUCGCGAGAGCAAGCGGACCUCAUAAAGUGCGUCGUAGUCCGGAUUGGAGUCUGCAACUCGACUCCAUGAAGUCGGAAUCGCUAGUAAUCGUGGAUCAGAAUGCCACGGUGAAUACGUUCCCGGGCCUUGUACACACCGCCCGUCACACCAUGGGAGUGGGUUGCAAAAGAAGUAGGUAGCUUAACCUUCGGGAGGGCGCUUACCACUUUGUGAUUCAUGACUGGGGUGAAGUCGUAACAAGGUAACCGUAGGGGAACCUGCGGUUGGAUCACCUCCUUA
Molecule: ribosomal RNA, 1542 nt
Filed under: Salmonella enterica subsp. enterica serovar Thompson
Lineage: Bacteria; Pseudomonadati; Pseudomonadota; Gammaproteobacteria; Enterobacterales; Enterobacteriaceae
Also listed under: 33 other names
Description: bacterial SSU rRNA
Rfam family: Bacterial small subunit ribosomal RNA
Source: RNAcentral